Long non-coding RNA from Heterocephalus glaber (naked mole-rat), 2759 nucleotides. NCBI's taxonomy places the organism in Eukaryota, Metazoa, Chordata, Mammalia, Rodentia, Bathyergidae. The record is from Ensembl.
CUCCCUGUGGUUCUGCUGCCUCCGCUCCUCUCUGCGCAGGCUCACGUUCUGCCCAGCGAAUGACGUUCUUUCUUAAAGGCCCAACCGCUCAGCGAUGACUCCAGAUAGAUUCCUUAACUGAACUUCAGCGGCUGCCUGCCGUUCAGACCUCUAAGACAUCGUCUUUUUGAAGUCUUCUACCAACAGAUCUCGCUGAGAAACAAUAUGAAAUAAAAAAUACUUUUUCCUCUAGGAUUUUUUUAGUAACCCAAGGGUGCUGUGUUUUCUUCUUGGUCUGCGUGAUAAGAAGAGUAACAGCUAAGGACAGUAGCACACAUGUGUAAUUCCAGAGGCUAAAGCAGGAGGAUUGCAAACUUGAGUAGAGCCUGGGCAAUUUAGAAGCUUAGCAAGACCCUGUCUCAAAACAGAAAACAGAAGAAGGAAGAGAUACCACACAGCAAUUACCUCUUAUGAAACUACUUUUUGGUAUAGAUGCUAAAGAAAACUAUUCACAAUUCUCUGGAAAUACUGAAAUGUUCUUCUUUUUGCCAAAAGCAUAUCCUUAGGAGGUCAAAUCUUCUUUAUAUUUCAACCAAAAAUAGCAGAUUGGAAGCAAAACCAGGUAAUCUUUUAGCCACAAUGAAUAUUGAAGAGAAGAGAAGGCAAGGGACAGAAGGAGAGAGUAUACCAAGAAUUAGAAGGGCCUGGUACAUGCUAGGAAAGCACUAUACCAUAGAGCUGUGCCCCCAGCCCUCAUGCUUUAAUACAAUCACCUGUGCCAUUGUCUCGAGAGGUGCCUGGAGGAGGUGAGAGAUUUGUUAGAAAGACUGUGUUGAUAGAUGAUGGUGGAUUUAAGCAGGCUGGAGCAAUGGAAGAGGAGUUAACAAUAUAACCACAAGCCUGGAAGUCACUUCAAGGAGUCCUAGUCCACCUUCCCACCCAGCCUUCCACCAACUCUGAGCAACCGGAAAAGGAAGUGUUAUUGCUCAGGAACAAGCCUGGUGCUGAGUACAGUGGCAAAUCUGAUCUGAAGUUACCUUAGAAGACCAAUCAUUGCAGGAAUAUCCAUACUGACUUAAAAUUGAUCAAAGACCUAGUUAUAAGACCUGAAACUUUGAUACUGCUAGAAGAAAACAUAAAGGGAAUACCUGAAGUAAUAGGCCCAAGUAAAACUUUCUGAAUAGAACUCCAACAGCACAGGAAAUAAUAACAAAAAUCAAUAAAUGCACAGUAAAGGAAGCAAUCAACAGAAUGAAGACUAAUCAACAGAAUGAAGAGUAAAGGAAGCAAUCAACAGAAUGAAGAGCAGAAUGAAGAGCAAUCCCAUUACAGAAUGGGAGCAAAUCUUUGCCAGCUACUCUUCUGACAGAGAAUCAGUCUCUAGAAUACAUAAAGAACUAAAAAAGCUUAACACCAAAAAUAUCCCAACCAAUAAAUGGGCAAAUAAAUGGACACUUUUCAAAUAAGUACAAAUGGCCAAUAAGUGUACACUUCCCUUUUAGUCCUCAGGGUCUCCUACAACUUUAAAAAAAACUAACAAAUUCAAGGUGGAGUUUAAAAGGCAUGUGAGAAAAUUAAGGGCAAGGAGGUCCAGGAGAGGUAUAUGUAUUUAGAAAUUGGCCUGCCCUCGCAUCAUGCUUAUCAACUUGUGAAACCUCCUACAACCUGUUAUUGUGACCCUGGAACAGAGCUGAUGAUCCAUCCCAUAGUGAGAAAUAAAAUGCCUAAUUCUUGAUCUGCACUUGUGCAGUUCCUGUCAGGCCUUGGAUGUCCUUAGGACACAGUUACAUCCUUCUUUUUGUACCCUAAUUUAGUUCACUUUCUGUUGCUCGGACAGAAUGCCACAGACUGGAUGAAUUAUAAAGCAUAGAAAUUUAUUUGGCUUAAAGUUUUGGAGGCUUGCAAGUUGAUAACAAUGGCAAGGGGCUCUGUGCUAUAUCAUGACACAUGAGACAGAAAAAAAGGGAAAGAGGAAACCAAACUCAAACACAGUCUCUAGCUAACCAACCCACUUUUGUAGUAACUUAACCAUUCCCACCAUAACAUUAAACUGUUCAUGAAGGCCGAGCUCUAGUAGCUUAAUCAUCCCUUAGAUAUCUCACUUCUCAAUUCAUAUUACAAUGGCAAUUAACUUUCAACACGCUUUCUAGAUGGGACAUUCAAACUGUAGCAAACCCUUAAGUAGGUCAGCCUUAUCAGCCUUGCUGUUGGUGUGGUUCUAAUUCCGGGGUCAAACACUUUGGAAACUGAACCCCUUUCCCCACUGCACACAUGAUACUUUAGACCCUCUAAGCUUGAUUUGUCAGUUUUUCAGCAUUCAGCACAAAGCAUUCCAAUAGAGCCCACGGCACUGUUGUCUCUCAACAAAGUUCCUUUGUGCCAAAUGCCUUCCUCUUUUUUGCCAUCAGGCCACUUACUGGUAUGGUAUACCUGUGUUGUAGGCAGAACAGUGGUUCCCCCAAAGAUGUCCAUAUCCAAAUCCCUAGAAUCUAUAAAUCUGUUGGUUUACGUGACAGAGGAAAAUGAACGUUGCAGAUGGAAUUAAGGUUGCAGUGUGAGACCUAACUAACUCCAUUUUAAAGUUUGACUCCAUCUUAAAAUAAGACAGUGAAGUGGCCUUGACAUAAAUUCUACUUUACUGAAAUCAGCUAUUCCCCUAGUCUCCUUUGUGCCCAUAAAAUAAUGAUAAAAUGUCCUUGCUGUGGGACAACAGAUAAAUAAAGACACAGCUCCUAACUCAAUCCUCUGUCUGUCCAAAAAACAGAUGCUCCCGGCCCAUU